RNAcentral lists this ribosomal RNA (490 nucleotides) under uncultured bacterium. RNAcentral's name for it is "partial 16S ribosomal RNA". It matches the Rfam family "Bacterial small subunit ribosomal RNA", at positions 28 to 507 of the family's 1533-position model. The record is from RNAcentral.
GAUGAACGCUAGCGAUAGGCUUAACACAUGCAAGUCGAGGGGCAGCAUGGUCUUAGCUUGCUAAGACUGAUGGCGACCGGCGCACGGGUGCGUAACGCGUAUGCAACUUGCCUCACAGAGGGGGAUAACCCGUCGAAAGACGGACUAAUACCGCGUACACUCCAUCUUGGGCAUCCAAGGUAGAGGAAAUGAAAUUCGCUGUGAGAUAGGCAUGCGUCCCAUUAGCUAGUUGGUGAGGUAACGGCUCACCAAGGCGACGAUGGGUAGGGGAACUGAGAGGUUGAACCCCCACACUGGUACUGAGACACGGACCAGACUACUACGGGAGGCAGCAGUGAGGAAUAUUGGUCAAGGGGCGAGAGCCUGAACCAGCCAAGUCGCGUGAAGGAUGACUGUCUUAUGGAUUGUAAACUUCUUUUAUACGGGAAUAACAAGAGUCACGUGUGACUCCCUGCAUGUACCGUAUGAAUAAGCAUCGGCUAACUCCGUG